UCUCUCCUAUUUCGGGUCUGAGUGAACCAAACACUGAGUUAUCCCUCAAAGGUAGGAGUUUUUCUGAUGCUAUGCUUUAAAAUGCUUCCAACAGAACAAUAUAAAGAGUGAUAAGAGUAACAAAGAAUGGCUUAUUUAUUUGUUUAUUUGUUUGUUUUUGGCAUUUUAUCAAAGACAGGCCCUGUGCUCAGAGAUUUAUUUGACUUGUUUCAUGAUAACACACCAGUUGAGAAUCCCUCACUGAAGUAAAGUGGAACAUUUCAGAAAAGUACACAAGCAACUCUCAGCUUCCUGGAGACCCACUUCCUUUCUCUGCCCGGCCUCUCCCAUUUCAUGUCUCAAUAACAGCCCCGCCGAACGGAAGAAUGAAGGCAGGGAACUCAUGGAAGGAAAGGCUUUGAAACAGAAGGUUAAAUUGAAAUGAGGUUCAGUCAUUAGCUCUGCUUUCUGUGGUCCCCAUUAACCCAGGUGAUUGAAAGGGCAAUGGAAGGAUGUGUCAGCUGAAUCACAGAAUGCUAUUGAGGUUUUCUUCCACUCAGUGGGCACGAACUAUACACACACACACACACACACACACCCCUUUCCCUCCAGCCCCUCCCCCAGCCUUUUUCAGAGGCUGGAAAUAACAAGCCUCAUCCAGUCGCAUGGCAUCAGUCACGCCAGCCAGCACUCUUUUCAUCUGUCACUGGCCGGCGCAUCCAUAAGUCCCAUCUCCAUUCCGACAAGCCAAGUUCAAGGGCUCCAUAGCCACGUGUGGCUAUCGUAUUGGGUGGUGCAGCUCUAGAGCAAAGAGCUCCUGAAUAGGUAGUCUGCAACCACUCACAUCAGGAACAACCUGAGAAUCUUAAUAAGAAGG
Balaenoptera musculus (blue whale) is the source of this 856-nucleotide long non-coding RNA. RefSeq lists it as uncharacterized. The record is from RefSeq and is a predicted model, not a curated record. The transcript is spliced from 2 exons. NCBI's taxonomy places the organism in Eukaryota, Metazoa, Chordata, Mammalia, Artiodactyla, Balaenopteridae.